This 480-nucleotide ribosomal RNA is filed under the name uncultured bacterium. Its description in RNAcentral is "SSU rRNA". It matches the Rfam family "Bacterial small subunit ribosomal RNA", at positions 26 to 517 of the family's 1533-position model. The record is from RNAcentral.
AGGACGAACGCUGGCGGCGUGCUUAACACAUGCAAGUCGAACGGUGAUGGCCAGCUUGCUGGUCUGAUCAGUGGCGAACGGGUGAGUAACACGUGAGCAACCUGCCCUUCACUCUGGGAUAACCACCGGAAACGGUGGCUAAUACCGGAUAUGAGACGUACACGCAUGUGUCGCGUCUGGAAAGAUUUAUCGGUGAAGGAUGGGCUCGCGGCCUAUCAGCUUGUUGGUGGGGUAGUGGCCCACCAAGGCGACGACGGGUAGCCGGCCUGAGAGGGCGACCGGCCACACUGGGACUGAGAUACGGCCCAGACUCCUAACGGGAGGCAGCAGUGGGGAAUAUUGCACAAUGGGCGCAAGCCUGAUGCAGCGACGCCGCGUGAGGGAUGACGGCCUUCGGGUUGUAAACCGUCUUUCAGCAGGGAAGAAGCGAAAGUGACGGUACCUGCAGAAGAAGCGCGGCUAACUACGCGCCAGCAGCCG